AUACUAUUAUCUUAAGUUUAAAGUUUUAGAUUUUUAAUCUAAAGAUAUUUUUUAUAGUAUA
This 61-nucleotide transfer RNA is filed under the name Bursaphelenchus xylophilus (pine wood nematode). Its description in RNAcentral is "tRNA-Lys". Lineage: Eukaryota; Metazoa; Nematoda; Chromadorea; Rhabditida; Aphelenchoididae. The record is from RNAcentral.